CUACGGGGUGCAGCAGUGGGGAAUCUUGGACAAUGGGCGCAAGCCUGAUCCAGCCAUGCCGCGUGAGUGAAGAAGGCCUUAGGGUCGUAAAGCUCUUUCGCCAGAGAUGAUAAUGACAGUAUCUGGUAAAGAAACCCCGGCUAACUCCGUGCCAGCAGCCGCGGUAAUACGGAGGGGGUUAGCGUUGUUCGGAAUUACUGGGCGUAAAGCGCGCGUAGGCGGAUUAGUCAGUCAGAGGUGAAAUCCCAGGGCUCAACCCUGGAACUGCCUUUGAUACUGCUAGUCUUGAGUUCGAGAGAGGUGAGUGGAAUUCCGAGUGUAGAGGUGAAAUUCGUAGAUAUUCGGAGGAACACCAGUGGCGAAGGCGGCUCACUGGCUCGAUACUGACGCUGAGGUGCGAAAGUGUGGGGGGCAAACAGGAUUAGAUACCCUAGUAGUC
RNAcentral lists this ribosomal RNA (439 nucleotides) under uncultured bacterium. Its description in RNAcentral is "partial 16S ribosomal RNA". It matches the Rfam family "Bacterial small subunit ribosomal RNA", at positions 339 to 795 of the family's 1533-position model. The record is from RNAcentral.